AGGAUGAACGCUAGCGGCAGGCCUAAUACAUGCAAGCUGAACGGUAAAUAGUGUAGCAAUACAUUAUGAGAGUAGCGUAAGGGUGCGUAACACGUAUGCAAUCUGCCCUGUACAGGAGAAUAGCUCGGGGGAAACCCGGAUUAAUGCUCCGUAAUAUUGUUAAGUGGCAUCACAUGACAAUUAAAGUUGCAAGAUGGUACAGGAUGAGCAUGCGUCUGAUUAGCUAGUUGGUAGUGUAACGGACUACCAAGGCGAUGAUNAGGUAGGGACUGA
Molecule: ribosomal RNA, 273 nt
Filed under: uncultured soil bacterium
Lineage: Bacteria
Description: partial 16S ribosomal RNA
Rfam family: Bacterial small subunit ribosomal RNA
Source: RNAcentral